Molecule: unclassified non-coding RNA, 365 nt
Filed under: uncultured fungus
Lineage: Eukaryota; Fungi
Description: partial contains 5.8S ribosomal RNA and internal transcribed spacer 2
Rfam family: 5.8S ribosomal RNA (bases 1-134)
Source: RNAcentral
UGGCUCUCGCAUCGAUGAAGAACGCAGCGAAACGCGAAAUGUAAUGUGAAUUGCAGAAUCUCAGUGAAUCAUCGAAUCUUUGAACGCAUCUUGCGCCUGGUGGUAUUCCGCCAGGUAUGCCUGUCUGAGUGUCCAUUUCCUCUCAAAAAAUACUUGCUUUUCAUGAAGUGGUUUUUUUGGAUCAUGGAUGUGGUUGAAAGCAUGCAGCUUCAACCCGUCUGGAAUUGAGUCGGUCGUAACGCAUUGAGAAAGCGGCUUGACCAAGUGUUGUAUCAUCCUCACUUGGAACGUUUUGAAUCGUUGAGCCACCAACGCCUAAAACUUUUUACGUUUUAGACCUCAGAUCAGGUAGGAUUACCCGCUGA